CUACUGGGGUAUCUAAUCCUGUUCGCUCCCCUAGCUUUCGCGCCUCAGCGUCAGGUAAGGCCCAGAGAUCCGCCUUCGCCACCGGUGUUCCUCCUGAUAUCUGCGCAUUUCACCGCUACACCAGGAAUUCCGAUCUCCCCUACCUACCUCCAGCUCGGAAGUAUCGGACGCAGUCCCGGGGUUGAGCCCCGGCAUUUCACGCCCGACUUUCCGAGCCGCCUACGCGCGCUUUACGCCCAAUGAAUCCGGACAACGCUCGUCCCCUACGUGUUACCGCGGCUGCUGGCAC
This 289-nucleotide ribosomal RNA is filed under the name uncultured Actinomycetes bacterium. RNAcentral's name for it is "uncultured actinobacterium partial 16S ribosomal RNA". Lineage: Bacteria; Bacillati; Actinomycetota; Actinomycetes. The record is from RNAcentral.